RNAcentral lists this ribosomal RNA (126 nucleotides) under Clostridioides difficile. RNAcentral describes it as "partial 23S ribosomal RNA". It matches the Rfam family "Bacterial large subunit ribosomal RNA", at positions 2795 to 2925 of the family's 2925-position model. Lineage: Bacteria; Bacillati; Bacillota; Clostridia; Peptostreptococcales; Peptostreptococcaceae. The record is from RNAcentral.
AACUUCAAGAUAAGAUUUCCCACCGCAAGGGUAAGACCCCAGAAAGACUAUCUGGUUGAUAGGUCGAAGGUGUAAGUGCAGCAAUGUAUUUAGCUUAUCGAUACUAAUAGUAUGUGUAGUUUUUAG